RNAcentral lists this ribosomal RNA (322 nucleotides) under uncultured eukaryote. RNAcentral's name for it is "partial 18S ribosomal RNA". It matches the Rfam family "Eukaryotic small subunit ribosomal RNA", at positions 1470 to 1796 of the family's 1831-position model. The record is from RNAcentral.
CCCUUAGAUGUUCUGGGCCGCACGCGUGCUACACUGAGUGGAUCAGCGGGUCAGGUUGCGCGAAAGUGUUUCCUAAUCUUUAAAUCCGCUCGUGAUGGGGAUUGACGGUUGCAAUUUUCCGUCAUGAACGAGGAAUACCUUGUAAGCGCGGGUCAUCAUCCCGCGCUGAAUACGUCCCUGCCAUUUGUACACACCGCCCGUCGCUCCUACCGAUUGAGUGGUCCGGUGAGGCUUUGGGAUCUGAGCGGAAAGAGCGUUUCGCUGUUUCUGCCCGGAAAACUCAGUCGAACCUUAUCAUUUAGAGGAAGGAGAAGUCGUAACA